Molecule: ribosomal RNA, 253 nt
Filed under: uncultured bacterium
Lineage: Bacteria
Description: partial 16S ribosomal RNA
Rfam family: Bacterial small subunit ribosomal RNA
Source: RNAcentral
UACGUAGGGUGCGAGCGUUGUCCGGAUUUAUUGGGCGUAAAGAGCUCGUAGGCGGUCUGUCGCGUCGGAUGUGAAAACCCAGGGCUCAACCCUGGGCCUGCAUUCGAUACGGGCAGACUAGAGUACGGCAGGGGAGACUGGAAUUCCUGGUGUAGCGGUGAAAUGCGCAGAUAUCAGGAGGAACACCGGUGGCGAAGGCGGGUCUCUGGGCCGAAACUGACGCUGAGGAGCGAAAGCGUGGGGAGCAAACAGG